This 21780-nucleotide long non-coding RNA is filed under the name Daucus carota (carrot). RNAcentral's name for it is "long non-coding RNA (DCAR_LNC000909)". The record is from RNAcentral. Lineage: Eukaryota; Viridiplantae; Streptophyta; Magnoliopsida; Apiales; Apiaceae.
CCAAGAACAGUGCUUCAAUAGCUCUCUUUUUCACCCUCAACAUUCUCUUCUUUGCCUUGGUCAGUUCCACUGAAAAAUGCCCUGAUCCUUAUAAGCCUAAGCCCAAGCCCACUCCCAAGCCAACUCCCACUCCUUAUCCAUCUGCAGGAAAAUGCCCUAAGGAUGCCCUAAAAUUAGGUGUUUGUGCUGAUGUCCUCAACUUGGUGCACAAUGUUGUGAUUGGAUCUCCACCAACACUCCCAUGCUGCAGCCUUCUUGAAGGCCUCGUCAACCUCGAGGCCGCGGUAUGCCUUUGCACAGCCAUUAAAGCCAACGUUCUGGGGAUCCAUCUCAAUCUUCCUAUUGCCCUCAGCUUAGUUCUAAACAACUGCGGCAAGCAAGUCCCAAAUGGCUUCGAAUGUACCUAAAUUUCUAGUGUGACAGAAGGAUCCUGAUGUGCUUUCUGGGGAUUUUGUUCUUUGUGUUUUUGAUUUAUUGUAAAGUGUGCUGUUUUUUGAUUGCAGUAUUGUUGGCUUAACAAUAUAUUCAUUUAUUUUUCUUUUAUGAAGUGAUUUAAUGGAAAAAAUUGUUUUGAGUUCGGUCACCUUAGAUUAGUUUGUGGCUUAUGGCUUGGUCAUGAAUACUUUAAUACUCCUCCGUCCCACAAUACAAGUCUCUUUUGAAAAAAUUACGCAUGUUGCAUUGGAAACUAGAAGUGAACAAGUAUUAUGAGAAAAAAUUUCUUCUAAAAGAGACUAGUAUUGUGGGACGGAGGGAGUACAUGAGUGUCAGAGAGAGUAAACUUUUAAGCGUGGUUAAAAUUUUUCAAACUCCGAAAAAUUACGCAUGUUGCAUUGGAAACUAGAAGUGAACAAGUAUUAUGAGAAAAAAUUUCUUCUAAAAGAGACUAGUAUUGUGGGACGGAGGGAGUACAUGAGUGUCAGAGAGAGUAAACUUUUAAGCGUGGUUAAAAUUUUUCAAACUCCGUGAAAAAAGUCUGAAAGACUAGGUAUCUAAAUGGUGGUGAGUAGUGUGCUAAAUUUACAAAAUUGGGAAAGAAAUUUUUAUAUAAAAUGACAUGAUAUAAUUGAGGUGAUAUGUUUUAAUUCGUGUUAUUUAUGUGAAUAUCGGAUUCUAUUUCAAUCAAAAGUUAACAGGUUUCAUCUUUUAAAAGAUUUUGUACCCAUUUUUGUAUACGUAAUAUUUUUCUACUUUUUAAUAUUAAACCUAAUGGCUCAUCUUGCUAAUUGUCCGAAGACAUUUUCUUUUCUUCAACUAAUAUAAUUAAGAAAUUCGGGAAAAUAAUUUUAGUUCUUAUGAUACAAAUCUAAAAAUAUUAAAAAGAGAUCAUGCACUUGCGAUAUCUUAAAAUUAUAUUUUUCGCACAUGGACUAAAAUUCUAAAGUUAAAACUUAACGUACCAAAGUAGUGACUAACUCAAAUUUUAUUAUUUGAAUUUAAUGAUAUAAAAUAAGAAAAACUAUUAUUUUUUGGGCCCCUCUUGGAAAUAUUUAAAUUCCCCUAAAAUGAGUUUUUCUCGGGGAGGGUUUGUCGCCAGCAAUCCUGACUACCUUACAGACGACUAAUCAAAUAUAUCUGUACGCACCUAGUUCUCUAUUCGGUGUUAAUGAUGCCCGUGACAAUGCUAGAGUCAAGAAUGAAUACAGAAAUACCCUCAUAAACGGACCAGAUGAAUGUGGAUAAAUUACAAAUAAAAGAAUCCUGAAAUAUUUGUCAGGGGCAGUCUAAAAUAUAUGUCGGAAAAUAUAAUCAUAAUAACUAGCACAUCUAAAAUUUGAAGGUGUUAGAGGAAGGCUCAACAAGAUCUUAUGCUCUUUUCCUAGUGCAGCAUCGAUCAGUAGGACUAGGGGUCGUUUUUACUAAUUUAAACACCUAAAAAUGAAAGAAAUCUGAAAAAAUUUAACUUCUGACGGUAAGAUGAUGCAUGAAACAACAGAACGAAACAGAUGUAAACUAUAUAAUAUGGUUGAUUUCGGUUUGCUUGAUCCAUAUCAUACAAUUUUUUGAAAAAAAGCGAGAACUCACUACUAGAUAUAUUGCAUUAGACCUCGAUUAUUAAUCAAACGGAUGUCUUCGCAUGUGCAGAGAAAAGUAAGGGUAUAUGACAUCGGUUUUUAGCCGAUGUUAAAGGGGAAGGAACAUAGACAAGGGUUUGCUUAUGAAAACUGAUGUAUUUAACUCAUAUUUCUAAUUAUAUUGUAAAACUAAAUAUGAAAUCUUUCUACAUUAGUAGGUUAAGGAGCAUUAUAAACAUAUAUAAUACGGAAGAAUAUUAGACUCAUGCAUAGAUCAGAAUUGUUGUCAUUAUGAACAUGUCAAAACAUACUACAAACAAAGCUAUGUUAAAUCAUGAGAUAAAGAGCAAGCCAUGUUAAAAAACCAGGCUUUUACAUCAAUCGAGAACCUAACACUCUUAGAACUAUUUUCUCAAUGCCAAAUCCAAUCAAUAAUACCCCCCUUAUUAUUUCAUUAAGUACUUAUUCACUUCAAUAAGUUGUUUAUAAAUCAGACUAUGCUUCCUCUAUAUCAGUUCACGGGACAUCAAUUAUUGAUCAUAUGUGACAAGAACAUGCCAAGUUGUUCAUGUAUUAUUCACUCAUAUAGCCUCCAAAAAUAUCUCUUCAUUUAAUGUGCUUGACAGCUCAAUUUCACGAACUUAUCACACAGAAACCCCCUAUAAAUUCAUCACUAAUCACAAUCCUUUCCAUUACAACAUAAACACUCUUCUAAGCCUCUGAUCAACAAUAGUUCUCAUUAGUCUUUGAGUUUGAGAGAUGGGGUCCAAGAACAGUGCUUCAGUAGCUCUCUUUCUCACCCUUAACAUUCUCUUCUUUGCAUUGGUGAGUUCCACUGAAAAAUGCCCUGAUCCUUAUAAGCCUAAGCCCAAGCCCACUCCCAAACCAACUCCCACUCCUUAUCCAUCUGCAGGAAAAUGCCCUAGAGAUGCCCUAAAGUUAGGUGUCUGUGCUGAUGUCCUCAACUUGGUGCACAAUGUUGUGAUUGGAUCUCCACCAACACUCCCAUGCUGCAGCCUUCUUGAAGGCCUCGUCAACCUCGAGGCCGCGGUAUGCCUUUGCACUGCCAUUAAAGCUAACAUAUUGGGAAAGAACCUCAAUCUUCCUAUUGCCCUUAGCUUAGUUCUUAACAACUGCGGCAAGCAAGUUCCAAAUGGCUUCGAAUGUACCUAAAAUUUCUAGUGUGAGAGAAGGAUCAUGAUGUGCUUUCUGGAUUUUGUUCUUUGUGUUUUUGAUUAUUGUAAAGUGUGCUGUUUCUGAUUGCAGUAUUGUUGGCUUAACAAUAUAUUAAUUUUUUUUUUUUGUCAUUUAUGAAGCAAUUCAAUGGAAAAUUUUGUUUUGAGUUCUGUCAUCUUAGAGUAGUUAUUAGUUUGUGUUCAUGAGUACUAAUUUGCAGACUACUCAAGCCCAUGUGCAAAAUUGAAAGUAUUGUGUUGUGAAUAUUAAAAUUUCGAAACUGGUAAAAUUUCAUAUAUAUAGUACCCAUUAUUCUUUAGAAAAUCGGUGAUUAAACAACAUUAAUAACCGAUUAAUUACCGUUUCGUAAUUCGUCGAGCUAAUUAAAUUUCGAAUUAUUUAACAAUCAUUUAAUUGAAUUUUUUUUGAUCCAAAUAACCCAUGUUCCAUACUGUAAAUAUAAUAUUGGCAUCAAUAUAAAUCUUAAAUAAAUGGAUCCAUAAAAAUAAAAAUGUUGGAAUUCAUGCACUUGCAUAUUCAUUUUCAUAUUCAGAGUAUCUAUUUAUUAUAUGUUCAUGCAACUUGUAAUCAAGUUCAUUUAGAGUUCUUUGUAUCAACUCUUUAAAUAUUCUCUAGAAUCUAUACAAAGUAUAUUCUACAUCAUUUGUAAUUCACUUCAAUCAGUGAAAUCAAAUUUAGAAAUAUAAAAGUUCUUUCAUCUUUAUUUCUUUUUUUUUUCCAUCUAUAUUUCUUUCUUAGAGCUCGUAGCAACUCAUUUAGUUUCAUUCAAAAAUUAUAUGCCUAAAAGAUGUAUAUAAAUGAAAUUGUUCAAACGUAUUUUAGUUGUAAUAUAUACGCCUAUUAGAAUAUGUUAAAAUAAAAUAUCUGUAAACCGACCUCUAAUUUGACAUUUGCUUCAUUAAAACAAAUAUUAUAUAUAUUUGAAGCUAUGAAAAUAAUUAAAAAAUAAUUUGAUCAAAGAAAAUGAAAAUAUUUAAAUUAAUUUUACUACAAGUCUGAGUAAAACAAAAAACCAUAAACUAGUAGUUAAUUUAAAUACCAACCACCCGACUACUAAGAUUUUUAGGAUUUUUUAUAAAUACCUACAUCUUAAAAACAAUUGCAAAAAUAUUAUCACUUUUUAAAACAAAUUGCAAAAAUACUAUGUUUUUUUAAAAAAAUAUUGACAAAAAUAAGGAGGUUGCAUAUGCAACCAUAUUUGCAACUGUUAGCAACUAUAUAUGCAACCACAAAUACAAUUUUGACUGAAAAUUUGCAGGUACUUGCAAAUGACGAAAAUGAGUACCUCUGCGUUGCCAAUACUAAUAUCACAAAAGUAACCAUGAAAUGAACUAAAACAUAACGAGAAAAUCAAUUAAAAGCAACUCAACAACCUUCAAAGAAACUGAAUUCAGGUAACAAUUGUUAUGUUUUGAUUUUGUAUAAAUGUAUAUAUGAUUUUGUGCAUGCAUAUACGUGUUUGCGGUCAGUGGCGGAGGCAGAACACAAUACUCAAGGAGGCACUUUUUAAUUUUUAAUAUUCUAGGGGCAAUUUUUAACAUUCCAGGGUCACAAGGAGUAAUAUUUUGUAGAUUAAUAUUGUCAAAUAUAUGGAUCUCAUAUAAAAACAUAUACACUUUUCUGAAACCUACGGGGGCAUGGGCACCCAGAGGCCCCCAUGUCCCUCCGCCUCUGUUUGCGGUGCUGGUGGGCUUGGUGGUGUCCGAAUGCGGGGCUCGAAAGGGUGGUGUGGGGAUUAGUUUUUUAACCGGAGGAGGGGAUGUACAUUGGAGGCUGUUGAUGUUGAUUGUUGGUCUAUAAUGGCCGACUGUAGGAAUGGAUGUUCGUGCGGGAGGAAUAAGGAGAGGGAGAAGAGAGUGCAUAUUGAGAUAGAGAAGAGAUUGAGAGCAAAGAUGAGGUAGAGGCAUUUGUUGGAGUAAGGAGAAAUAGGAACACAAAAGCACCCUAGAAAUCAGGAAGCCUGAACAACUAAAAAUACUUGCCCACAUAAUACUCCACUACUUAACUCCCUUGCUUCAAACAUGCAGAUCACACCAAGAAGUUUUCGGAAAUAAUAAUGCUUAGCUUGAGAAAGCGACUUCGUCAAAAUAUCAGCUUUUUGUUCAUUUGUUGGACAAAAUUUGAGCUGCAAUUCUCCAUCUGCUGUGUGACUGCGGAUAAUAUGAUAAUGAAUGUCGAUGUGUUUGGUUCUACUAUGGAAGGCUAGAUUUCUUGUCAUUGCUAUUGUUGCUUUAUUAUAACAAUACAUUUCUGUUGCACCAUCUUGUUUUUGAUGUAUAUCAACCACCACACGUUGCAACCAUAAAGCUUUAAACAUAUUCAGCCUCCGACGAAGAUAAAGCAACCACAUCCUACUUCUUUGAACUCCAUAAAAUUUCUCCUGAACCCAAAGCUAAAAACAUGACCUGAAGUGCUCUUUCUAUCAUCAAGACAACCUACCCAAUCACUGUCGCUAUACCCAAAAAGCUUGAAAUCCGCAUCUUUUGAAUACCAAAUCCCAAACUCAGUCGUCCCUGCUAUAUGACCAAGUACUCUCUUUGCGGCACCUAAAUGUUGCUUUGUUCGAUUAUGCAUAUACCUGGAUAGCACACUCACAGAGUGCAUGAUAUCUAGUCGUGUAUGCGUCAGAUAAUUUAGCCCGCCAAUCAGACUUCUGCAAUAGCUUGUAUAUGCAAUUGGUGUACCAUCUUAAGCCUACAAUUUUUCACCGGUAUUCAUAGGUGUAGCUGCUGCCUUACAAUUUUUCAUAUGAAACCUACAGAGCAGGUCUUUAGCAUAUUUCUUUUGCGCAACAAAUAUUCCAUCAUCUGCUUGUUUCACCUCAAGACCAAGAAAAUACUGCAAUGUCCCUAAAUCUGACAUCUCACACUCACUUUUCAUACAUGACCUGAACUCAUUAACAAGAGUUUCAGACGAUCCAAAAUAGAUCAUGUCAUCAACGUAAGUGCGUAUUACUAAGAAUUCGCCAUUAUCAUGCUUUUCACAUAUAGAGUGGGUUCAUUUUCGCUCCUGACGAAACCAUGUUGUAGAAAGUAAGAAUCAAUUCUCUUGUACCAUGCUCUCGGUGAUUAUUUUAACCCAUAAAGAGCUUUAAUUAGCUUGUACACCUUAUUCUCCUUCUCAUUAACAACAAAUCCAUCAGGCUGUGAGACAUAAACAUCCUCUUCUAGCUCCCCAUUUGGGAAAGCAGAUUUUAGAUCAAAUUGAUGCACAUGUAAGUUCAUUUUAGUAGCUAAACAAAGGAGAGUUCUUACCGUUUCAAAACGAGCCACCGGUAAGAGAGUUUCGUCAAAGUCAACACCUUCCUGUUGACCGUACCCUUUCGCCACGAGCUUGCUUUAUAUAUACUUUUGGAUGAUCCCAUCUGCAUGAUGCUUUAUCUUAUAUACCCAUUUGAGACCAAUGAGAGUUUUUCCUUCUGGUAAAUCAACCAAUUCCCAUGUUUUGUUACGAACAAUAGCUUGCAAUUCUUCAACCAUUACAUUCUACUAAUUUUCAGUGUUAAUUGCUUUUUCAAAAGAUUUAGGUUUCGACACAUUUAAUGCAAAGGGAAGAGAUUCAUAUAUCUCCUCAAUAGACUUCAUUUUUUUGGAGGUGUUUCACUUGAAGGAGUACAGGAUGAAGAGUUCACUGGAGACCCGCUUCCAUCAAAUUUUUUAUCAACACUAACCAGUGAAUUUGGAAGACAAGAAGGAACAUUGGAAUAACCAAUUGGUUCAUCUUGGAUGGCAACUUGAUACUAAUAUCGACAAGAUCAGAAGCAACAUUCCAGCUUGAUUCCUCAUUAAAUACAACGUCCCUGCUGAUGAUGAUAACUUUUUCCUUCACCGUAUCGUACAACUUGUAUGCUUUCGAAGGAAUGCUAUAAUUGAUAGAUUUGCAUUUUGUAGCUUUCUCAUCAAGAUUUUUACGAUAUAGAGCAUCCACUAAAACAUAAGCAACGAACCAAAUACACUUAGAUGACUUACAUCAGGCUUACUACCUUCCCAUGCUUCGUAUGGAGUUUGAUUAUACACUGCCUUGGUUGGACAAAUAUUCAGAAUGUACACAGCUGUAGCAACAGCUUCACCCCAAAAUAUUUUAGGAAUGCCUCUUUCUUUCAUAAUACUUCUUGUCAUCUCUACAAUUGUGCGAUUUUUUCAUUACGCGAUGCCAUUUUGUUGGGGCUUGCGAGGUGCUGUGAGUUCUCGAAAUAUAUCAUUAUUUUCACAAUAAGUAUUAAAUUCUUGUGACAAGAAUUCACCUCUCCUAUUUGUUCAAAGUGUCUUGAUCAUUCUCUCACCUCGCUUUUCCACGAGAGACUUAAAUUUCUUAAAACAACCAAAUGCCUCAGAUUUGUACUUCAAAAAGUAGACCCAACACAUACAGCUUUAAUCAUCAACAAGAAGUAGGAAAUAGAGACUUCCACCCAAAGUUUCUACAGACAUUGGACCACACAAAUCUUCAUGAAUUAGUUCUCAACAUAUUGAAGCUCUCCAAGCCUUGCCUACUGUGAAUGUUUGUCUACUCUGUUUUCCAUAAACACAGCCCUCACAAAAACUGAGAUUACUGAUUUUGGGCAGCCCAAUUAUCAUAUCCUUGUUUCCUAAUAACAGUAAACCUCUAACAUUUAAAUGACCAUAUCUUAAAUGCCAUAGAUUUUAUUUGGAAUCAUUUGCUAAAAGGGCAUGACUCUGGCUCACAUUAAGAGGAAACAUUCUAUUCGAGCCAUAAAUAGAUUGUUUUCUUCAUCUAGAUAUUCAUCGGCUUGGUGAUAUUUAUUCUAUUCGAGCCAUAAAUCGAUUGUUUAAAAAUAUAGUAAAUUUGUAAGGUUUUAGACAAGUUAGUAUAUGUACAAAUAAAUAUUCAAAGAUGAGUAUAUUUUUCAAAUUCCCAAAUUUUCAUAUUUUAAUUUUCAUAUGAUAAUAUAAAUUAUACAUAUUAUAAUAUAAUUAAUAAGUUAUGAGAUUAUUAGAUAAAAUAAAUACGAUAAAAUAUUUACCUGAGGGAUUCAAUACUUUGACGCUCAAUUAUCAAAAUAUAUAUUCCUAAUAUGUUAGUUUCUUAAUAUUUUGACAUCUAUUUUUAAGAAUUUUGACCACACACAUAAAAAAUGUAUUUACAAAAGUAAAAUUUUAGAAAUAUUUCCUCCAUCCUAUUUUAACUCAUGUUAAAUUUUUUGACACAGAUUUUAAGGUGCUAAAUAUCACAUCUAAAUAUAAUAUUUUUAUUAUAAAAUCUAUAUCAAAUAAAAAUCUAGAAACUAAACUUUAAAAAUUUAAUAUGAAAGUUAAAUAUUUUUGUUAAGUGUUAUUUUUUAAACUAUAAUAUAUAUAUAUAUGUCAAAUGCCAAAAAUAGUAAUGGAGGAAGUAAUAUUUUUUUAAAACUCUUCAAAAUACAUAUAAAAAGUCCAACUGAAUAAAAUUAUUUUUUAUGAUUAAACUUAAGGGUUUUUAUACAUAACCAAGUUUGGAAGAAUUUUUGCGAAAAUACUAUCAGUUUUUUAAAAUUACGGUGGUUGCAUAGGCAACCCGCAUCUGAAACUGCCAGCCAGCAACAACCACAUGCAACGAGAAAUGCAACUUUGAAAUAAAAAAAUUUGGAAAUUAUAUUUGUUUCUAUAAUAGGUUACAACCGGUUGCAAGACAGAAAAAUAACCCCUACCGGCCAAACAUUACGACCUAAAAACAACUAAUACAACAACUUUUGCAAUUUUGAAACAGACUACUCAAAUUAACUAUCCCAGCCACUCAUUCUUCAAACAAACUCUUCGACUACAACUCAAUCAAAAAGAAGAACAAGACUCGGACCUGCGACUUGGACUCAGAGAAAACACACAAGAAAUCAGCCACUCUCGGUGUCACAGCAAAACACAACAAACAAAUCUCAAGAAAUCGAAGCAAAAUCCAGCAGAAUCAAACAUCAACUCAGCUACUCGGCGUGACUCGGAGGUGACUCGGUGCAAAUCACAAACAAAAGAACGAAAAGACGCAACCAGAUGAGGAGCCUAGGCGGGACUUGGCGGCGCGUGAGAAUAGGGAGAGGUGGGAGAGUUCGUCGGCGAGGGGGAUGGGCAGGAAGAUGAUAGUGCGGGUUGAAGAGGAGGGAGGGUUUGAAGAGUGAUUAAUUGAUUGUUGGAGAGAGAGAGAGAGUGGGGGUGAGGUGAGAGAGGAGGAAAAAUAAGUAGUAAAGAAAUAAAAAGGUGAAUUAGAGAAGGUAGUAUUUUUGAAAAUAAGAUUGAAAAAAUGUAAUAUAUUUGAAAGAUUUUUGAGAGGGUGUAUAUUUGUAAAUAAGAUCCAUAAAAAUAGUAUACAUGGCAAAUAAUGGUUCAUCAGUGUGAUUAUAAUUCUAGGAGUUAAAAAUUAACAUACUGAUUACCGACUAACAAAAAUUUUAGUAUUUGAAUUUAAGGAUAUGAAACUAAAUACUCCCUCCAUCCCACAAUACAUGCCUCUUUUAAAAAAAUUAUGCAUAUUAAGAAAACAUUAAUUAGAUAAAAAUUUCUCACUUAUACCCUAAUGAAUACAUGAAUGUAGACUAUUAUUCAACCUAUAUUAAUUGAAAUUUUGGAAUAAUGUCAAUAUAUUUGCAUUUGGAAACUAAAAGUAAACAGGUAUUAUGAGACAAAAAAUUCUUCCAAAAGAGACAUGUAUUGUUGGACGGAAGGAGUAAAAUAUAUAAUUAAUCUGGGUCCCUCUUGGAAAUAUCAAAAUUCCGGUAAAAUGAAGAGUUCUUUCUCGGGGAGGUUUUGUCCACCUUACAGAGAUAAAAAAUCAAAUAUAUUUAAUCUGGUUGAUUUCGGUUUGCUGAUACCAUACAAUUUUUUUUUUUUUUUUAAAGCAAGAACUCACUACUAGAAUUAGACAUUGGCUCUUAACCGAAUUGAUGUCUUCGCCUGUGUAGAAAAAGGUCGGGGUAUAUGACAUCGGUUUCAGCCGAUGUAAAAGGGGAAGGAACAUGGACAAUGAUUUGCUUAUGAAAACUGAUGUAUUUAACUCAUAUUUCUUAUUAUAUUGAAAAACUAAAUAUGAUAUUUUGCUACAUUAGGAGGUUAAGGAGAAUCAUAAACAUAUAAUACGGAAGAAUAUUAGACUCAUGAUAUAGAUCAGAAUUGAUGUCUUUAUGAACAUGUCAAAAUAUACUAAAAAUUAACAAAGCUAUGUCAAAUGAUAUAAAGAGCAAGCAAUGUUAAAACCAGGCUUUUACAUCAGGAACCUAACACUCUUAGAACUAUUUUUUCCAUGCCAAAUUCAAUCAAUAAUACCCCAAACUGAAAUCUUUUGGCUUAAUGUCCUUUUAACCCUAGAUGUUUGGGGGUGUGCCGAUGCGGCCUUACUGUUUUAACUCGGCCACUCCAAGUAUCCGAUAUGUUUUGAUUAGCCCUCAUACCAUGAGGAAGCAAAAAAACAGUAUAUAACAAAGGUUAAACUUGACAAUUCUAUUAAAGAUAAAGUUUUCUCAUUGCUCUUAACCCCUAAAGGAUACAUUAGAUGUUUCUUUCAACCCCUAAAGAAUACAUUAUAAUACAUUAGAUGUUCCUUUUAACCCUUAAGUUUAAUGCCCACAAAUGUGAAAUGUCAUGGUUGUCCAUCCGUUAUAUACCAUAUUUUGGUAUGAGGGCUAAUCGGAACAUAUCAGACAUUUGGAGGGUUGAAUCCGCCAAGUUAAAAUAUUGAGACUGUAUCGAGACACAUGGCGAACAUUGAGGGUUAAAAGGUCAUUUAACCAAUUCUUUUCAUAUAAAUGACCCCUAUUGUUUCAUUAAGUACUUAUUCACUUCAAGAAGCAGUUUAUAAAUCAGACUAUACUUCCUCUAAAUCAGUUCACGAGACAUCAAUUAUUGAUAUGUGACAAGAACAUGUCAAGCUGUUUAUGUAUUAUUCAGCCAUAUAGCCUCCAAAAAUAUCUCUUCAUUUAAUGUGCUUGACAGCUCAAUUUCACGAACUUAUCAGAGAAACUCCCCUAUAAAUUCAUCACUAAUCACAAUCCUUUCCAUCACAACAUAAACAUUCUUCUAAGCCUGAUCAACAAUAGUUCUCAUUAGCCUUUCUGUAGUUUGAGAGAUGGGUUCCAAGAACAGUGCUUCAGUAGCUCUCUUUUUCACUCUCAACAUUCUCUUCUUUGCCUUGGUCAGUUCCACUGAAAAAUGCCCUGAUCCUUAUAAGCCUAAGCCCAAGCCCACUCCCAAACCAACUCCCACUCCUUAUCCAUCUGCAGGAAAAUGCCCUAGAGAUGCCCUAAAGUUAGGUGUCUGUGCUGAUGUGCUCAACUUGGUGCACAAUGUUGUGAUUGGAGCUCCACCAACACUCCCAUGCUGCAGCCUCCUUGAAGGCCUUGUCAACCUCGAGGCCGCGGUGUGCCUUUGCACUGCCAUUAAAGCCAACAUACUGGGAAAGAAUCUCAAUCUUCCUAUUGCCCUCAGCUUAGUUCUAAACAACUGCGGCAAGCAAGUCCCCAAUGGCUUCGAAUGUACCUAAAAUUUCUUGUGAGAGAUGGACUGUGAUCUGCUUUCUGGAUUUCGUUCUUUGUGUAUUUCAUUAUUGUAAAGUGUGCUAUUUCUGAUUGCAGCAAUUCAUUUGGUUUUUAUUGAAAUUAUUUAAAGAACACUGAAGUCCCCGGUGCAGGUAUUGUGUCACGGGUGAAUACUAAAAUUUGGAAAUUGUUAAGAAUUUCAUAUAUUAUUACAUAGGAUCUUAUCUCCUCCACCAAUAAACUCAAUUAUGAUAAAUUUAAAGUAUGAUUUUUAAUUCGAAACAUCCAUAUAUAUAUAUGUGUGUGUAUGGACAUCAUUAUAAAAUAUUAUUUGUCCUUUUCACAAAUAAUACUGGCGAUCUAUUGAUCUUGUAAAUUUUCAUUGAAAAAACUCUUGUAAUUCAACAUUAUACCCAUCCAAGUCUUUUUGAUUGAAUUCAAAAUUAUGACAUAUGACUUAAUGCGAUAAAUUAGUUAGGUGUUUAAAAUUUCUGUUCGGAUAAUUUUGACUUAUUAAUCAUUUAAAUAUUAUUAAAAAUAUAAUAAUAAUAAUAAUAAUAAUAAUAAUAAUAAUAAUAAUAAUAAUAAUAAUAAUAUUUGGAUAACUUUUAUCGAAAAGAGAGGUUUUAAUAAAUUAGGUUACUCAAAAAGAUAACUCAAACUAACUUAUGACAUUUAGUUUAUCGACUCUGACUUUAAGCCAGUUUCUGACUUAUUGUGCAUGUUUGGCUAAUGCUACUUCUAACUUUUGCCGACUUCGAUCUAAUAUAACAGACAUUUUUCGGCUUAAAUGAGAAACAGUUUUUAGCCUUAAUUUACAGCCUUUUUGUUUAGGCUUUAAGCCUAAAAUUGCUAGCCUCAUCAGCUGGGGAUAUUUAUUCUCUGUGGAUUGAUUCUUUGUGUUUUUCACUUUUGUUUCUCGUUGUGGUAUUGUUGGGUGAACAAUAUAUUCAUUUGUUUGUAUCAGGCGAUUUAAUGAAAAAAAUUGUUUAGUAUUCUGUCAACUUACACUAGUGGCUUAUGGAUACUAAUAGCGGAAUAAAUUUUGUAAAUUAUAAAAUUUAUACGCUAUUUUCACUACAUAUAUAUGAACCAUUGAUUCAAUAUACAAAUAGAUAAAAUCAUCAUAAAUGAGAAUUAUAAUUUCUUUUGUGAUUCAUGUAUUCAUUACUAUAAAGAUAUUACUAUUUACUAAUUAAUAUACAGAAAUGAUUGACCAUAUAAGUGAAAUCAACUGUAUUUUGAAUAGGAAAAGGGAGCAUAGAUAAGAAUUUAAUUAUAUGUAUUGUAAAAGAUGUAUUUCUAUAUAAAGCCUUACCAGAAAAUUUUAAUAUAUCAAGUUUUAAGCCCUAAAUGUUGUUUUAAAACUUUUUCCUAACCACAUAAUAAUGACAACCAAAUAAUAUUGUAUAAUGCAGGUAAAUAUAAGUACAUGUCCAAUAAAGUAUUGCUAAAAAAAUUUUUGUAUAUAAUAUAAAGCAUUCAUUGUAAUGAGAAAAGGAUAAUUGAUAAAGAAUUAUUACGAAAAGACGGAAUUAGAUUGCUUUCAGUAUAAAUUUCACCAAAAUAUUAUAUAAAAUUACAUUAUUGUUAAUGAUCUUGGAUAAUAUUAUGAUCGCAACCUUAUAUCCGUCACACACACACAUAUAUAUAUAUAUAUAUAUCACUAUCACUUUACUCCCAACCUAUUAUUAAUAUAACUACGAGAAAUCUCUCCGUUAGACAAUAUUCAGUGAUAGUCAGUUUUAGCCUGGUCGGUUUAGACAUAUUGGUCGUAUUUAAUAUAUAAAAUCCAUCAUCGCGGUAGUUGGUUUUAACUGGUGCAAAAAACGUACACAAAUGGGACCUACAUUGCCGGCCGGUGCCACUUAGACGCAAGUGCCAUGUGUGCACAUAUAAUCGAGCGGAUUGGUGGUCGGUUAUGGUGUUUGACCAAAAAGGUCAAAUGUGGUCGGUUAUGGUGUUUAACCCAAUGAUCGGGUCUAUUCGAGAAGAAGCUAUGGCCUAUUAGAACCGACCACAUAACCGGCCGGUGAAGGUGGUCGAUUUAACCAAAAGAGGUGGUUGUCGGUCGGUUAGCUCACCUUGGUCGGGUUUAUCACAUAAGCGGCGGGAGCUUUUUAAAUCUGACCAACCAUAAUUGACCAGUUUUUUGAGAUUCGGUCGGUUUUUGUACUCUAACAAAUAAAAUGUUAGAGUGCAAAAUUUAUUUCAUUCUCCCUCCAUUCCAUUCCAUCCAAGUGAACACAUAUCUAAGACUGUGUUCACUUAUAUGGAAUGGAAUGAGGAGUAGAAUGUAAUGAGAAAUUAUAUAGAAAUUUUAUGGGAAAAUAUGAGAUAAUAAUGACUAAAUAUGAAUGAGUUUAAAUAUCUUGUGAUAAAGAUGGUAAAAAAACAUGAUGUAGAAAUGGAUUGAGCAUUCAUCCAAAACACGUGGAUGUGGGUUAGAAUUUUAGUAAUAUAGUAGCAUUAAUGGAAUGAUGGAAGGAAUGGAAAUUUUGAAAACUUUCUCUUACCAACAUCAUAUUAGAGUAUAAAAUUCAUUCUAUCUUCCCUCCAUUCCACUCGGUGAACACAACCUCAGUUUUCUGAAGAAAGCAUGUCACGCAUUUCCGUUUAUUAUUGUUCGAAAUCGCUUAUAUAAAACACUACAAGAUGAACCAUAUAUAUAUAAUACUUUUGUAACUUUUUCUAUUACGUCCCAUUUAAAUUUUCUUCUUUAACCUUUUAUGUCUCCAGGAUUCUUUCUAGGGCAGGGUUGGUCCAUACCCUGACCACCUUACAGAAUAAUCAAAUAAACCUGUACGAAUAUGUUUAUCUUCAUAUUCCCGUGUAUUGUUUGGUGUUAAUGAUUCCCGUGACAGUUAGAGUCAAGGUUCAACUCAAGUUCCAACAAUUAUACAUGGGAAAAGUAACACAUUGUCACAAAGGUAAAAUUAAAGCCCGAAGUGUUGUCAGCUGUAGAUAGUUCUUAAAUUGGUGAUAGGCUUGUUGACAAUUUAGACUUAUAUGUCUUAGAAAUGAGUAUCUGUUCUAAUACUUCUCAACAAUUUAGACUUAUAUGUGUUAGAAAUGAGUAUUUGUUCUAAUACUUCUCGAAUGAGUCAGAGUUAGAGUUGAACCCGGGUGUUCUAAAACAACAGAGGAUAAACGUCCCACCACUUGGGCUAUCCAGUCCUGCUCAAACAAUUAUUGUAUUAUUAUUACUUCAGAUCGAUUAUCAUUUUACUGCUGGGCACAACACUAAUUACUGUUUGAGUGUUUAUUAUUGAUCAUUCUACUUUGUUUUCUCGACGCAAGACUUGGAGUUGAACACGAUCUACACUUGCAUUAUAGAAGUUCCUGGUUCGAUCUUUAAUGAUUAGCAGACAUCAGAUUCAGAUGAACAUGACAAUUUGUAUAACCAACCAAUUUUGAUGUGCUUGCCAGAUCAAUUUCCGAAGCCAUGUCGAAAAACUUCCCUAUAAAUUCAUCCCUUUGACAACAACCUUCUCCAUCAGAACAACGACCCUUCUAAAAUCUGAUCACCAAUUGCAACUUAUUCGAAAAAAAUGGGUUCCACCAACACUGCUUCAGUUGCUCUAUUUUUCGCCCUCAACAUUCUCUUCUUUACACUAGUCAGUUCAUGCGACACUUGUUCUGGUCCGAAGCCUAAGCCUAAGCCAACUCUUCCAACUCCAUAUCCAGCAAAUCCAUCUGCCGGAAAAUGCCCUAGGGAUGCCCUAAAACUAGGCGUCUGUGCUGAUGUCCUCAAUUUGGUGCACAAUGUUGUGAUUGGAUCUCCACCAACACUCCCAUGCUGCAGCCUUCUUGAAGGUCUCGUCAACCUCGAGGCCGCAGUAUGCCUUUGCACUGCCAUAAAAGCCAACAUAUUGGGAAAAAAUCUCAAUCUUCCUAUUGCCCUCAGCUUGGUUCUUAACAACUGCGGCAAGCAAGUCCCCAAUGGCUUUAAAUGUACCUGAAAUAUCUAGCCUCGAUUCGGAUCCUAAAUUGUUUGCUGGCUUUUAUUCUUUGUGUUUUUUCUUCAACUGUAAAAGUGUGUUACGUUAUUUCUUAUUUCAGUGUUGGCUUAAUUAAUUGUUAGAAUUCAAACCCUUAUUUGAAUAAUUAAAUAUAUAUGAACAGCUAGCUAGGUUGAAUAUGUAAGUUCACACUUGUGGUCAUAUAUAUCCAGCAGAAAAGGAAUUUAAAGAAUUGCAGAUUACAAGUACAUGUGAUCACCAUGCAGCUGCGUUGAUACAAAGGCCAGGAAGAAAGGUGGCUGGUGCAAAAUACAAUACAUGGCUCAAAUGUAAACUUAAUAACAGGAGGUGGCACAUGCAGAAGAAAACAAGGACACGUGGCAACAGCUUUCACAUAGUCAAUAAAAACAGGUUGCAAGUCUUUGUUCAAACCCUAAUAUAUGGAAGAUUGGAGUUUGAAUACUACAUAUAAAAGCGUGGCCAUGAAACGAGGAAGUAAAUGCCUGGUGAUGUAAGGCAUGACAUGAAUGCAUGGUUUUGAGUCUAUAUAUAGGAACGACUCUCCAGUAUACAAUAACAAGUGAAGAGAAAAUCUGAAGAGAGAAUUGUAAAGAGCUUAAGCUCGUUGAGUGAAAAAGGCUGAAGCCUAGUGUGUGUAGAAAAAUUAUAAGUAUUGUAGCUGCGUGUUACAUUAAUAUACAAGUUGUGUGGUUGCAUAUUAUUAUAAUCGAAGUUUUUUGUUUUAAGGCCCAUACACGUUUCCAACAAGUGGUAUCAGAGCCGAGGUUUUGUUCGAGAAAAAAGAAUGGUAAGUUUCCUGGAAGCCCAAGUUCCAAUGUUGACGGGCACAAAUUAUGGAGACUGGAGUAUCCAAAUGAAGGAAUUACUCCAUUUUUAUGAUGUUUGGGAUAUAGUCGAAAGAGGGUAUGAUGAGUUCACAUCAGCGGCUGAAGUAGCUCUGUCAGAAGCCGAGAAGACGACAUUAAAUGGGUGCAGGAGCAAAAAUAACAAGGCAUGUUUCAUGAUUUAUCAAGGUGUCGACGAAUUAACCUUUGAUAAUAUUGCACAUGAAAAAAAAGCAAAAGACGCCUGGGAGAUUCUGCAGAAAUCAUUCCGAGGAGUUGAUAAAGAAGAAGAGGUGGAGCCUCAAGUAUUGCAUGGCGAGUUCAAGAAUAUGAAAAUGAAAAAUUCUGAAAAUAUUGAAGAAAAUGUUACGCGUUUGAAAACGGUGACAAAUGAGAUGAAAAGAAAUGGGGAAAGUCUGGAUGAUGUUCGGGUCAUGGAAAAGUUGCUCCGUUCAUUGACAAGAAAAUUUGAUUAUGUUGUAACUACGUUAGAGGAGUCGAAAGAUUGGUCCAGAAUUUCUAUUGAAGAGCUUGUAUGUUUGUUCCAAGACCACGAGCUGCAGAUGAAUCGUUAUGAUGAAGAAAUUAGCAGUUUGGAGAAUAUGGUGCAAUGGAAAGUGUUUGAUAAUAGGAGUCCUAGUAGUGGCAUUAUUAAUAUUUCAGGGGAAGCGCCAAGGAAUAUGCUGAGUCCAGAUAAUAUCUACAAACCAACAAGUCCGAUACAAACAAUCAUUGAUGAUUCAGUGUUUUGUUUCAAGGCAAGCGACGAAAGCAACAAAAGUUGGGAACAGGUGCAUCACAAAAUUGCAGAACGAGUUCACUACAUGACCAACGAAAUUUUAGAUGAUAUAUUCAUGAAGUUAUUAAAGUGGGGCGUCUUUCACAAAGCGAAAGAAAAACUCGAAAUGCAAAUUCGGGUUUGAGGGGGAGUGUUAGAAUUCAAACCCUUAUUUGAAUAAUUAAAUAUAUAUGAACAGCUAGCUAGGUUGAAUAUGUAAGUUCACACUUGUGGUCAUAUAUAUCCAGCAGAAAAGGAAUUUAAAGAAUUGCAGAUUACAAGUACAUGUGAUCACCAUGCAGCUGCGUUGAUACAAAGGCCAGGAAGAAAGGUGGCUGGUGCAAAAUACAAUACAUGGCUCAAAUGUAAACUUAAUAACAGGAGGUGGCACAUGCAGAAGAAAACAAGGACACGUGGCAACAGCUUUCACAUAGUCAAUAAAAACAGGUUGCAAGUCUUUGUUCAAACCCUAAUAUAUGGAAGAUUGGAGUUUGAAUACUACAUAUAAAAGCGUGGCCAUGAAACGAGGAAGUAAAUGCCUGGUGAUGUAAGGCAUGACAUGAAUGCAUGGUUUUGAGUCUAUAUAUAGGAACGACUCUCCAGUAUACAAUAACAAGUGAAGAGAAAAUCUGAAGAGAGAAUUGUAAAGAGCUUAAGCUCGUUGAGUGAAAAAGGCUGAAGCCUAGUGUGUGUAGAAAAAUUAUAAGUAUUGUAGCUGCGUGUUACAUUAAUAUACAAGUUGUGUGGUUGCAUAUUAUUAUAAUCGAAGUUUUUUGUUUUAAGGCCCAUACACGUUUCCAACAUUAAUAAUAUAAUCUUAUCCAACAUUUUUUGUUAAAUUAUCCCUAGCUACUUAAACAGUUUUAUGCCUUAAAACACCAACUCACACAAUAUAUACCAGGGUAGACUGAAUGUGAAAAUAUCACCCAUACAACAAAUAUCAUCUUGUCAAAUUGAUCACGGUCAGAUUAGUUUCUUUAAAUAUCUGAAUUAAUGGAAAGCAAUAGAUAUUUUAUUUAGAACGGUCUUUCUAAUGUGUGCCCAAGGGCACACAAUAAACACUAAUUCUCAUUAAAAUGCUUCUUUUGAUUGGUGGAAUUGGUGUAAAUGCAGGGGGACCAUCAACAUUUAUCAUCCAUCCAUCAAUCAAAAGCUAGUAUUAUCACGAGAGUUAGUGACUAGUGUGUGCCCAUGGAUACAUCAUAGAAAAUUCGUAUUUAGAAUUCCAAAGAGAUUGAUAAUCCAAUGUGUUAAAUAAUAAAGAUGUAAUCUCAUUAACCCAGCGUUAACAGAUUUUAGCAUAUAUAAGGGAUCAAUUUGAAUAAAUAUUUACGAAAAGAAUUAUACAAGCCCCCAGCUGGAUGAUAAUAAUGUGCUAUACAAGCCCUAACUAGGGGUGUCAGAUGGAUCAGAUUUGGAUCGGAUCACCCUUGAUCCAUAUCCUGAUCCGUCUAGUUUUAUCGAAUUAUAGACGGAUUUUUUAGAACAUGAUCCAUAUCCAGAUCCGUAGGAUCAACGAAUUUUCGGAUCGGAGCUCCGCUCCAUGUAUAUUUAGAAAAAAAUUUCCGUUCUUUAUAUUUAGAAUUUUCAGAUCACAUGAUAAUUCAGAUAUGUAUUAUAAAAUAAAGAUUAAAAAACGAAGUUAUAAUAUGACCCAUAUUUGGGCAAAGGUUAGGGCCCUAACCUUUGCCCAAAUAUGGCUCGUAUUAUAUUUAAUAAGAUUCAAAGUCUCCAUUGUUAACCUUGUAGUCCCUCUGUAGGUUGUUUAUUUUGUAGGAAUUUCAACACUUCCACAAAAUAUAAUUUCACAAAUUAUUUAAUUUUUUCAUUAUUUUGAACAAAAAUUUAAUGUUCAAAUAUUUUUAUAAAAAAGAAAUUUUUUAAAAAUGAUUAAUAAAAUUACAUAUUUUGUAUGCAUCUUCAUAAUAUGCGUGCCAAAUAAUACAAUAUAUUGUAAUAAAAAUUAAAGGAAAUAUUUACCUUUACUAUUCUUUCAUGAAAACAUUAUCAAAGGUUAAAACACAAUACGCAACUUCAACAAAUUAUAAACCAAGAAACAUAAUAUUUAAAUACUUCCGCUACAAUGAAAACUUAAACUACAUAUGGCAUGGAAAAAAGAUGUUGUCAAAUCAAGAUCAUGAUAUAAACAAGUUGAAGUGCUUGAUUGAUUUUUUUUGGUACUUGUCCCUCUUGCUUGGAAGUGCCCCUUUGGCAACAUUGUUUUUCCAGUAACCUAUAUGAUUCUUUCUAGGGCAGAAUUUGUCGAUAUCCUGAGCAAAAUUUACAGAAAUAAAAGGAAAAAUGUAUUUAUAUGAAUAUAUUAUGAUUAGGAGAGCUCCCGGCCAGCAUAUGGUUUGGUGUUAAUGAUGCCCGUGACAUGGUAGUGGAGUAAAAAUUCAGCAGAAUUUUGGAUGGUUUCGAAUUGGGGCAGCCUAAUCAUGUUACCUGUAUUUUAGAAUGACGUCUAUUCCACAUUUGAAUUACAAUUUACAUCUAGGACACUGNGGCUUCUCCUUCCUUUGACUGGGAAGAGCCCCUCAUUGCGACCCAUCCGCCUUGUCCUUGUGAGCAGCCUCAGUAUCAAGCCAGUGCCUUAAGUCAUGCUCAGUCAAUCUCUUUCCCGAAUGAACAAACGUAGGGCUGUAAAAUGAUCUGGGUGAUCCCGGGUACCCCUCUGCUCAAGUACCGGAUCAUAUUAUUUUUAGCUUGUCCAGAUUUGGGUCCGGGAUCGUUUAAUUCGGGUAUAAACCGAUCCCGGGUAUUUGAGAUUCGGAUUCGAACCGGAUAUGAUCCAGUAUCGNNNNNNNNNNNNNNNNNNNNNNNNNNNNNNNNNNNNNNNNNNNNNNNNNNNNNNNNNNNNNNNNNNNNNNNNNNNNNNNNNNNNNNNNNNNNNNNNNNNNNNNNNNNNNNNNNNNNNNNNNNNNNNNNNNNNNNNNNNNNNNNNNNNNNNNNNNNNNNNNNNNNNNNNNNNNNNNNNNNNNNNNNNNNNNNNNNNNNNNNNCGUCUCCUUUUACAUGUCCAUUUUGCUUUUUGAGAAGUCAAAUUGAUCAAUUUUUGACUAAACAUUACAAAUUAUCUAUUCAUUAUUUUUAAAAUCCGAAAGUUGCAUAUUAAAAUAGACAAAAUAUAUUUUCUAAUGAUAUAAUUUUCAUUAUUCUUCUUAAUUAUAUAAUACAUGUAAAUUACAGUCAAAAUAUAGUCAAUUGACUGAUCAAAAGUCAAAAUAGACAUGUAAAAAGGGAAGGAGGAAGUAAUAGAUUAUAUGAAAUCUUGUACCUAUUUUUCACAUAUUUGACAAUAGAAACGGAUCAUAUUGACUAGUGGUUUGUCGUUUCCUACCAAUUACAUUUCUGAGUUGAAAAAUUAUGACCAACACAAUCGGUAGGAAACUCUUUUCGACCGAAUUGAGUCGUACUCCACAUCGAUCUAUGAAACUUAAAUCAGUGAAAUUAAUGUCUGUUCACAGAAUUCGGUGGUCGAAAACACAUCCGUGACAAUAAGCAGAUAUACAUCUGUUUCAUAUAUCUCCCCAGCAGAACUUAUAGAUCUAGAUGAUUUAAAAUGGAACAUAAACAUUUGGGUAGAAAAUUAAACGGUUUGUCUAGUGUGUGCGCAUGGGCACAUGCUAAGCACGAAAUUUGAUAUGUUUAGGAGGUUUUGAUUGGUGUGAUUGUUGUAUUUGCAGAGGUCCACCAUUAUUAAGAUAGGAGAGUGAAUCAAAAUCUCCCAAACUUGUAAAAUUCCGCGCUUAGAAUGUGCCCAUGAGCACACACUAGAAAAACCGAAAAUUAAAAAUAUAUCAUACCCCCACCACAUAAGUUUCACCCCUGAUUUCAAUGUGCUCGCCAGCUCGAUUUCCAAAAGGUUGUCGCAGUCUUCCCCUAUAAAUUCACUCCCUGACUACAAACUUUUCCAUCAGAAAACAAAACCUCUCUGAUCUGCAUUUGCAUUCUCCACCAAUCCCUUAAAUCUGAGAGAUGGCCUCUAAGAGCAGUGCUUCAGUAGCCCUAUUUUUCGCCCUCAACAUUCUCUUCUUUUCGCUAGUUAGUUCAUGUGACUUCUGCCCCGGCCCUAAGCCGAAGCCGAAGCCAACUCCAACUCCAUACCCCUAUCCAACACCCUCAGCAGGAAAGUGCCCUAAAGAUGCCCUAAAAUUAGGUGUCUGUGCUGAUGUCCUCAACUUAGUUCACAAUGUUGUGAUCGGAUCUCCACCAACACUCCCAUGCUGCAGCCUUCUCGAAGGUCUCGUGAACCUCGAGGCCGCCCUUUGCCUUUGCACCGCCAUUAAGGCCAACAUUUUGGGGAUCAAUCUCAAUCUUCCUAUUUCGCUCAGCUUGGUUCUUAAUAACUGCGGCAAGCAAGUCCCGAAUGGCUUCGAAUGUACCUAAAUAGACAAGUGGUUAUCUGCUUUCUAUGUUUUUCGUUCUUUAAUUGUUGUGUAAUGUUGCAGUAGGUAGCUUCCCAUAAGCUAUUCUUCUUGUAUUUUCUAAUUCGUACGAUUCGGUGGAAUGAUAUCGAAUAAAUCUGCGCU